Molecule: transfer RNA, 85 nt
Filed under: Felis catus (domestic cat)
Lineage: Eukaryota; Metazoa; Chordata; Mammalia; Carnivora; Felidae
Rfam family: tRNA
About the family: Transfer RNA (tRNA) molecules are approximately 80 nucleotides in length. Their secondary structure includes four short double-helical elements and three loops (D, anti-codon, and T loops).
Source: Rfam by way of RNAcentral
GCCUGGGUGGCUCAGUCGGUUGGGCAUCUGACUUUGGCUCAGGUCGUGAUCUCACGGUGCGUGGGUUCGAGCCCCGCGUCGGGCU